This 912-nucleotide ribosomal RNA is filed under the name Pleurocordyceps aurantiaca. RNAcentral's name for it is "SSU rRNA". It matches the Rfam family "Eukaryotic small subunit ribosomal RNA", at positions 60 to 983 of the family's 1831-position model. The record is from RNAcentral. Lineage: Eukaryota; Fungi; Ascomycota; Sordariomycetes; Hypocreales; Polycephalomycetaceae.
UAAGUAUAAGCAAUUAUACGGCGAAACUGCGAAUGGCUCAUUAUAUAAGUUAUCGUUUAUUUGAUAGUACCUUACUACUUGGAUAACCGUGGUAAUUCUAGAGCUAAUACAUGCUGAAAAUCCCGACUUACGGAGGGAUGUAUUUAUUAGAUUAAAAACCAAUGCCCUCUGGGCUCUCUGGUGAUUCAUGAUAACUUCUCGAAUCGCACGGCCUUGCGCCGGCGAUGGUUCAUUCAAAUUUCUUCCCUAUCAACUUUCGAUGUUUGGGUAGUGGCCAAACAUGGUUGCAACGGGUAACGGAGGGUUAGGGCUCGACCCCGGAGAAGGAGCCUGAGAAACGGCUACUACAUCCAAGGAAGGCAGCAGGCGCGCAAAUUACCCAAUCCCGACACGGGGAGGUAGUGACAAUAAAUACUGAUACAGGGCUCUUUUGGGUCUUGUAAUUGGAAUGAGUACAAUUUAAAUCCCUUAACGAGGAACAAUUGGAGGGCAAGUCUGGUGCCAGCAGCCGCGGUAAUUCCAGCUCCAAUAGCGUAUAUUAAAGUUGUUGUGGUUAAAAAGCUCGUAGUUGAACCUUGGGCCUGGCUGGCCGGUCCGCCUCACCGCGUGCACUGGUCCGGCCGGGCCUUUCCCUCUGCGGAACCCCAUGCCCUUCACUGGGCGUGGCGGGGAAACAGGACUUUUACUUUGAAAAAAUUAGAGUGCUCCAGGCAGGCCUAUGCUCGAAUACAUUAGCAUGGAAUAAUGAAAUAGGACGUGCGGUUCUAUUUUGUUGGUUUCUAGGACCGCCGUAAUGAUUAAUAGGGACAGUCGGGGGCAUCAGUAUUCAAUUGUCAGAGGUGAAAUUCUUGGAUUUAUUGAAGACUAACUACUGCGAAAGCAUUUGCCAAGGAUGUUUUCAUUAAUCAGGAA